Molecule: long non-coding RNA, 1102 nt
Filed under: Salvator merianae (Argentine black and white tegu)
Lineage: Eukaryota; Metazoa; Chordata; Lepidosauria; Squamata; Teiidae
Description: lncRNA (ENSSMRG00000017698.1)
Source: RNAcentral
UCAGCCCACACACUUCUGGGAUGGGGGAGGAGCGGGCUGCCAGCAAAGAAACUGCGACUUGCAGGCGGGAUUAAAACGCGNAGGUUCUAAUAAUCUCCUCCGUCUUCAGAUUAAGUAAGGGUCGUGUGGCUGAGACACACAGCCAGCAGCAGCCGAGAGCAGGGUGGCUGCGCGAGGCAAACGGCGAGGCCGAUACGGAUCCACGGCGAGGAGUCGCUCCCGAAGGCAAAGUGCAAAGCCUGUGCGGGAAUGCAGGCACAGGCGGCAGCAUGGAGGGAAGGAAAGAUCGCCAGCCGCCGGAGCGGGAGGAAAGGAAGAGGUGUCCGAGGGGGUGGAGGGAGAAGGCGGGAGGGAGGGAGCAAGCAGCGAUCCGGUGGCAAGCGAUGGAGAAGAUGAGACGCCCCCGGAGGAGCCCGUUGGGAGCCGGGAGAGUUUCAGAAGCCGGUUCGUUUCUAUCCCUGAGCUUGCUUUCCCCAGCCAGAUACAGAAAGCAAAGCGGGAACGAACUUUGCACAGUUUAUACAGGAAGAAGAAGAGGAACCAGGUCCGCCCUCCUGGAGUUCUCGACUUGACCUUGUGAUGCACAAACAAUACAGACUCCAAUCCGUUGCUGGAAGGCUGUUUGUUGCUGUUGCUCUUGCCUGUCUGUUUUCCGUGGUGGCAGCAGCCGCCGCGCCUUGAGCUCCUUCAACCUCCAGCUGGCCACACCCACCGUUGCCUGCCUGCUCGAGGCGGCCGCGGCGGCAGCACCUACUACUUCGUUCGCACAGAAGAACAGUUAUUAUUCAGCGACGGAAGAAGCGGCUGGCGCUACCUGAUCGGCUCUCUCUGUCGCUCAAGGCCACGGGUGUCGCCGUCGACCGCCCGCCCGCCCGCCCGCCAUCCUAAAACCAGCGCCACCACCCUUCAUUCUGUAUUCCCCUUCUGCAGAGUCGUCCACGUCAGAAGUGCCUAAUAGGAAUGCCGUCCGUUUUCAGAAACAGGACUUUCCCAGAAGCCGCUGAUCAAAGUGACUCUCAAAAUUUGCCAGCAUUUUAAAAAACAUACCGGGGGCACUCGCUCGUGCAAUAAAUGGGCAAACCCUAUGCUGAUGGAAUGUUCA